CCCUACGGGGUGCUGCUCGCUGCGGAAAAGGCAUCGAAGAUUUACAGUGAGAUAAAAAAUUCAAGUGCCUAUGUUUCUUCCAGGUACAGGUUAAUUUCGGAAUUUUAUGUCGAAUCGAGAAGUUUCCGGCUUAAAAACGGGAACAUUAUUGAAAAAAGCGUAAAGGUGAAGAUAAACGAAAAAGAGGUUUCCCCGUCUCUUUAUUCAGUUGAUUAUAUUUCCGGAUUUCUGUCAUUUACUGAUCCGAAUAAUCCGGUAAUAAGCUCUGACGCAAAAAUUGAAAUCAAGUAUGAGUAUCUGCCCGUGGGUGUGAACGCUGAAAAUUUUACGGGAGGUAUCCGGACUGAUUAUGACAUAAACAAAAUGCUCAGGAUUGGCGGGGGGGC
This 386-nucleotide ribosomal RNA is filed under the name uncultured prokaryote. RNAcentral describes it as "partial 16S ribosomal RNA". The record is from RNAcentral.